UCACCGGCGCUGCACUCAAUU
This 21-nucleotide microRNA is filed under the name Sorghum bicolor (sorghum). RNAcentral's name for it is "sbi-miR397-3p". Its record names the gene sbi-miR397-3p. The record is from miRBase by way of RNAcentral. Lineage: Eukaryota; Viridiplantae; Streptophyta; Magnoliopsida; Poales; Poaceae.